CCUACGGGAGGCAGCAGUGGGGAAUAUUGGGCAAUGGGCGCAAGCCUGACCCAGCAACGCCGCGUGAAGGAAGACGGCUUUCGGGUUGUAAACUUCUUUUGACAGGGAAGAGCAGAAGACGGUACCUGCCGAAUAAGCCACGGCUAACUACGUGCCAGCAGCCGCGGUAAUACGUAGGUGGCAAGCGUUGUCCGGAUUUCCUGGGUGUAAAGGGCGUGUAGCCGGGCUGAGAAGGCAGAUUUGAAUUCCGAGGGCUCAACCCCAGAACUGCAUUUGAACCUGUUGGUCUUGAGUAUCGGAGGAGCAGGCGGAAUUCCUAGUGGAGCGGUGAAAUGCGUAGAAAGUAGGAGGAACAUCAG
This 359-nucleotide ribosomal RNA is filed under the name uncultured bacterium. Its description in RNAcentral is "partial 16S ribosomal RNA". It matches the Rfam family "Bacterial small subunit ribosomal RNA", at positions 338 to 712 of the family's 1533-position model. The record is from RNAcentral.